Molecule: transfer RNA, 73 nt
Filed under: Paramuricea clavata
Lineage: Eukaryota; Metazoa; Cnidaria; Anthozoa; Malacalcyonacea; Plexauridae
Rfam family: tRNA
About the family: Transfer RNA (tRNA) molecules are approximately 80 nucleotides in length. Their secondary structure includes four short double-helical elements and three loops (D, anti-codon, and T loops). Further hydrogen bonds mediate the characteristic L-shaped molecular structure. tRNAs have two regions of fundamental functional importance: the anti-codon, which is responsible for specific mRNA codon recognition, and the 3' end, to which the tRNAs corresponding amino acid is attached (by aminoacyl-tRNA synthetases). tRNAs cope with the degeneracy of the genetic code in two manners: having more than one tRNA (with a specific anti-codon) for a particular amino acid; and 'wobble' base-pairing, i.e. permitting non-standard base-pairing at the 3rd anti-codon position.
Source: Rfam by way of RNAcentral
GACCGCGUAGCUCAGUUGGACAAGCAUUGGGCUAGUAUUCCAAAGGUCGUAGGUUCGAAUCCCACCGUGGCCG